GAUCCUGGCUCAGGACGAACGCUGGCGGCGUGCCUAAUACAUGCAAGUAGAACGCUGAAGGAGGAGCUUGCUUCUCUGGAUGAGUUGCGAACGGGUGAGUAACGCGUAGGUAACCUGCCUGGUAGCGGGGGAUAACUAUUGGAAACGAUAGCUAAUACCGCAUAACAGUAGAUGUUGCAUGACAUUUACUUAAAAGGUGCAAUUGCAUCACUACCAGAUGGACCUGCGUUGUA
RNAcentral lists this ribosomal RNA (233 nucleotides) under uncultured bacterium. RNAcentral's name for it is "partial 16S ribosomal RNA". It matches the Rfam family "Bacterial small subunit ribosomal RNA", at positions 15 to 240 of the family's 1533-position model. The record is from RNAcentral.